AUAAAUUAGAUCAUGCAAUAUAUAACACCAUUUUGGCUAAAACUCAAGCUGGAAAAAUAGAAUUCAAAAGAGAGGAAAAAAUAAUAUAAGCCCAGAAAUCAUGGUAUUACAUCAUUGAAGCUAUCUGGUCAAUUUGCAAGUACAUGCGAGAUCAGCUCCACGGUUCCAGGAUAACAAAUUAAACUCCAUGUGUUCGUAUUAAUCACAUGACUAGGAUCACCAAGUCUGCUACCAACUAUAUGAGAGUAGUACGACCAUUCCAAUAUUUACGCUUGUUCAUAUUAUAACAAAAAGAACCAUCCCCAGAACAAGAAAUAACCAAAACUCUUGUAUAAAUCUAGGGUUUAGAUAUAGAUAUAAACUUUAACAAAAAAAAAUAAAGCUGACAGCCUGAAUUGUGCAAUUUUCAAAAGCGACCAACCUUUUAUUCACUAAUCCCCUAUACUCACGCACCAAACCAAUGAUAGACCAAUACAUUUCUAUUAUCAAACAUGCAAAACUUUCUGUUUGCUAACUUAGAAAUUUCUUUAUUUAAUGAUCAUUAGAACAAAGGUGAGUAUGAAACCAAGAGUUCAAUACAUAGAGACUGCAUUGUUUGCCAGAAAACAUUGCAGUUGUUUGUCCAUUUUUGACACGCACCCGACUCCUGUCAACAGCGAGUCGGUGCAGUCAGCAUGCAUCGAGGACAAUCCUGUCAUCUUUUUUCACAAGUUUGAAAAAAGACCUUCCUAGUGCUUUUGUCCAUUCUGUAACCUGUAGACAUUUAUUUCAAUCAUUUGUCAACAAGAAGUUUACCCUUUUCUCCAUUCUGUAACCUGUAGACAUUUAUUUCAAUCAUUUCUCAACAAGAAGAUUACCCUGAAAUCCGUAUCAAUCGGGUCACCAGAGGGCUUUCACGGCAGAAGUAAUUUGGACGAAGGAUUGGGUGUGAUCGGGCCUCUCGAUUCCUUCUCAGACGCAUUAUGGAGCACCGAGCGUCGGUCUAACUUCUGAGAGAGAAACCACGACUGAUCGGUCUCUAAUCGAUUGGAUUUUGACCCCACUGCCUAGCUGAUUGAUGUGUCUAGCUAUAGUAAUGAGGAUCAGAACAAUGAAAGGUGAAUCGAGCUGUGAUUGAACGCUCAACUCCAACUCAAGUUCGGAUCAGAGAACUCGUCGAGCAGAGUCAGAUAGAGCUCACUUUUUCGGCGAAUGGCCGGUGAUCGGAGAGGGCUUCCGUUACCAUUUGGAUCAUCCAUGCCAGAGAUCCUCUCCACCAAAUUUGAGGUGAUUCGGUUCAGAGACGGUGGAUAUAUGAAGCUCAUAAGAAAUUCAGGCCAAACCGGCGGCGAUGAUGAACAAAUCCACCGAUAGCAGGCGGUGCCCCAAAUUUCUUGUAAAACUCGGGGUAUUCUGCAAAAUCUGGUGAACGAACUCAAUAAGCUUGUGCUUAAACAGAUUACAAAGCUUCUGUAAUUGAUUGUUUGGUGGAUUGAUCGAAUUCUGCAUCGAAAUCGAGUGAAAUCGGGCGACCCUGUCCUGAAGCAGAACGUCAUGGGCGACAAAGAUCUUCAUCCUCAACACGUUUCUUCUCUGGUGGUCGGAUUUGGCUAAAAAUUAGAGCGUCCACUCCCCUCCUCAUGCCCAAUUUAUGGUCCAAACUUCAAGCAAAUCGGAGUUCUGCUCGAUUUUCUAAAAAUCUGCGAGUUCAAGUCAUCGGCUGUGUAACAGGGUGACUCAGGCUUGGAGAAGAAAGACCCAGGCGACAUGGAUCUUUAUCAGGGGCGCGAUUUCUCCCUGAAACGAAUUUGCUGCUGCAAAUCUGGGCGGCCCACCCUCUCUUUCUAUACCAGUGCUGACCAAUUUUCAUCGAAAUCGGAGCUCUAGGUGAUUUUUAAAAAGUUCAACGAGUGGACCUCUCUGAGCGGCUUCUGAAGCAGAGAGACGCUUGAGUUCAAGUAUCGAGGCCAAGCCUCAUUGUUUCCCCAAUAUCGACCGAGAUCUUCCACUUCCUGGUGAUUUAAUCCAUAUUUCUUUCAUUUGUUGAUUACAUACUUGUCGGGAGUUUGAUAUUUGUGUUGUUGUUUCCCUGAUUCGGACAGAAACUUCACCUGCGGGAGACGAAGAAGCUGAAGUCGAUGCAGCAAGUGGUUGGCGUCUGUCGGUGCUUCCGACGGCAGCAUCCCCCACUUUCCGACAACGAAUUGGGGUUCAACUCGGAUCUGGGGAUUGCAUUCAUAUCGGAUUGUUCUCUGUUUUACUGUUUAUGCGAGACCAAUGAUUGCAUGUUAUCUAUUUGAUGUUCUCUGUUGCUGAGAUUUGAGAAGCAUCGGCUGGGGAGGUGAACAAGGAACUUUGGAGGAGAAGGGUGACCGCCGGUACCCGACCAGCGACUACCUCCCCCUUUACAUCAAAUACAAGGGACAAAAUGAUUCCACGGUUACACAUUUCCUCCUUCAAUUCCCUAUUUUGGUUGUUGUUCAUCUCUAUAGUAGUAACCUGCGCAUUCUUGUUUUGUGCUAAGGAGAAACCGAGACAGCGACUGGUUAGCGAGCUUGGGAACGAGCUGCGAGCUGGUCCCAGCACAAGACGAGGUGGAUUGGUGAAUGCCAAGGAUUAUUGACUGGUUUUCAUCCUUGUAGUGUCCCCAAACUAGCUCCGAGAGGGAGGCUAUUGCAGUUGUGGGAGCAGCCAGCGCACACAGACAGAUCUCUAGGGAAGCUAUCGCGGCACUUGAGACAGCAGCAGUAGCGGCAGCGCACGGCGUGGGCGUUGUAUUCUUAGGGAUGUUACCAUGGCUAAGAGGCCGCCUAGCGCAUCCGGGAGAAAUCAUAGAGAGGCUAUUCAGCAAGCCCAGCCCGGUUUAGAGACCGAGCCCAGCAACAGGACCAUGAGCGAGUCACGCACCCGGGCGACCAGCGCCCAGCCAUCCGAGGAGCAUAGCACAGACCAGAUCGGUUUAGAUGCAGCCAGGUUGGUCCGAGUUCAGGGGCGACCAGCGCCCAGCCAUCCGAGGAGCAUAGCACAGACCAGAUCGGUUUAGAUGCAGCCAGGUUGGUCCGAGUUCAGCAGCCGGACCUAGCCACCACAGCAGCAGCAGGGUUCGGACCUACACUCAGUGGGUUCGGACCUAGAUGAGCAUGUGGGACCGAGACAGGUGCAUAUCAGACUGAGACGCGGUCAGCAUGGGUGCGUUCUUUACAAGAACAGGUUCGUUGGACCCGGUUCAGUGGAGUUUACUUCUGUAUCGUUUAUGUUUCGUAUCAACUCUUGUACCAUCUGUAGACCAGACAGAGACCAUCCCGAAACAAGCUACAGUAUAAAUGAUCGUUAACUCUGUAA
Molecule: long non-coding RNA, 3321 nt
Organism: Nymphaea colorata (pocket water lily)
Lineage: Eukaryota; Viridiplantae; Streptophyta; Magnoliopsida; Nymphaeales; Nymphaeaceae
Exons: 2
Source: RefSeq, a predicted model, not a curated record